GCACCGCUGAGGAGUCCCACAACAGGACGAAACGGCCGUACAGUAC
Schistosoma rodhaini is the source of this 46-nucleotide non-coding RNA. The record is from Rfam. Lineage: Eukaryota; Metazoa; Platyhelminthes; Trematoda; Strigeidida; Schistosomatidae.